AGCAGGUCACGUGUGGUGCAGCGUGAUAGUGGAAUAUGCUGCAUCAGGUGUGGCACAGCACA
RNAcentral lists this microRNA precursor (62 nucleotides) under Ornithorhynchus anatinus (platypus). RNAcentral describes it as "Oan-Mir-1421-P20_pre stem-loop". Lineage: Eukaryota; Metazoa; Chordata; Mammalia; Monotremata; Ornithorhynchidae. The record is from RNAcentral.